Molecule: ribosomal RNA, 2153 nt
Filed under: Escherichia coli
Lineage: Bacteria; Pseudomonadati; Pseudomonadota; Gammaproteobacteria; Enterobacterales; Enterobacteriaceae
Description: partial 23S ribosomal RNA
Rfam family: Bacterial large subunit ribosomal RNA
Source: RNAcentral
CCCUGGCAGUCAGAGGCGAUGAAGGACGUGCUAAUCUGCGAUAAGCGUCGGUAAGGUGAUAUGAACCGUUAUAACCGGCGAUUUCCGAAUGGGGAAACCCAGUGUGUUUCGACACACUAUCAUUAACUGAAUCCAUAGGUUAAUGAGGCGAACCGGGGGAACUGAAACAUCUAAGUACCCCGAGGAAAAGAAAUCAACCGAGAUUCCCCCAGUAGCGGCGAGCGAACGGGGAGGAGCCCAGAGCCUGAAUCAGUGUGUGUGUUAGUGGAAGCGUCUGGAAAGGCGCGCGAUACAGGGUGACAGCCCCGUACACAAAAAUGCACAUGCUGUGAGCUCGAUGAGUAGGGCGGGACACGUGGUAUCCUGUCUGAAUAUGGGGGGACCAUCCUCCAAGGCUAAAUACUCCUGACUGACCGAUAGUGAACCAGUACCGUGAGGGAAAGGCGAAAAGAACCCCGGCGAGGGGAGUGAAAAAGAACCUGAAACCGUGUACGUACAAGCAGUGGGAGCACGCUUAGGCGUGUGACUGCGUACCUUUUGUAUAAUGGGUCAGCGACUUAUAUUCUGUAGCAAGGUUAACCGAAUAGGGGAGCCGAAGGGAAACCGAGUCUUAACUGGGCGUUAAGUUGCAGGGUAUAGACCCGAAACCCGGUGAUCUAGCCAUGGGCAGGUUGAAGGUUGGGUAACACUAACUGGAGGACCGAACCGACUAAUGUUGAAAAAUUAGCGGAUGACUUGUGGCUGGGGGUGAAAGGCCAAUCAAACCGGGAGAUAGCUGGUUCUCCCCGAAAGCUAUUUAGGUAGCGCCUCGUGAAUUCAUCUCCGGGGGUAGAGCACUGUUUCGGCAAGGGGGUCAUCCCGACUUACCAACCCGAUGCAAACUGCGAAUACCGGAGAAUGUUAUCACGGGAGACACACGGCGGGUGCUAACGUCCGUCGUGAAGAGGGAAACAACCCAGACCGCCAGCUAAGGUCCCAAAGUCAUGGUUAAGUGGGAAACGAUGUGGGAAGGCCCAGACAGCCAGGAUGUUGGCUUAGAAGCAGCCAUCAUUUAAAGAAAGCGUAAUAGCUCACUGGUCGAGUCGGCCUGCGCGGAAGAUGUAACGGGGCUAAACCAUGCACCGAAGCUGCGGCAGCGACGCUUAUGCGUUGUUGGGUAGGGGAGCGUUCUGUAAGCCUGCGAAGGUGUGCUGUGAGGCAUGCUGGAGGUAUCAGAAGUGCGAAUGCUGACAUAAGUAACGAUAAAGCGGGUGAAAAGCCCGCUCGCCGGAAGACCAAGGGUUCCUGUCCAACGUUAAUCGGGGCAGGGUGAGUCGACCCCUAAGGCGAGGCCGAAAGGCGUAGUCGAUGGGAAACAGGUUAAUAUUCCUGUACUUGGUGUUACUGCGAAGGGGGGACGGAGAAGGCUAUGUUGGCCGGGCGACGGUUGUCCCGGUUUAAGCGUGUAGGCUGGUUUUCCAGGCAAAUCCGGAAAAUCAAGGCUGAGGCGUGAUGACGAGGCACUACGGUGCUGAAGCAACAAAUGCCCUGCUUCCAGGAAAAGCCUCUAAGCAUCAGGUAACAUCAAAUCGUACCCCAAACCGACACAGGUGGUCAGGUAGAGAAUACCAAGGCGCUUGAGAGAACUCGGGUGAAGGAACUAGGCAAAAUGGUGCCGUAACUUCGGGAGAAGGCACGCUGAUAUGUAGGUGAAGUCCCUCGCGGAUGGAGCUGAAAUCAGUCGAAGAUACCAGCUGGCUGCAACUGUUUAUUAAAAACACAGCACUGUGCAAACACGAAAGUGGACGUAUACGGUGUGACGCCUGCCCGGUGCCGGAAGGUUAAUUGAUGGGGUUAGCCGCAAGGCGAAGCUCUUGAUCGAAGCCCCGGUAAACGGCGGCCGUAACUAUAACGGUCCUAAGGUAGCGAAAUUCCUUGUCGGGUAAGUUCCGACCUGCACGAAUGGCGUAAUGAUGGCCAGGCUGUCUCCACCCGAGACUCAGUGAAAUUGAACUCGCUGUGAAGAUGCAGUGUACCCGCGGCAAGACGGAAAGACCCCGUGAACCUUUACUAUAGCUUGACACUGAACAUUGAGCCUUGAUGUGUAGGAUAGGUGGGAGGCUUUGAAGUGUGGACGCCAGUCUGCAUGGAGCCGACCUUGAAAUACCACCCUU